RNAcentral lists this ribosomal RNA (253 nucleotides) under uncultured bacterium. Its description in RNAcentral is "partial 16S ribosomal RNA". It matches the Rfam family "Bacterial small subunit ribosomal RNA", at positions 524 to 776 of the family's 1533-position model. The record is from RNAcentral.
GACAGAGGAUGCAAGCGUUGUCCGGAAUUAUUGGGCGUAAAGCGCGCGCAGGCGGUCCUUUAAGUCUGAUGUGAAAGCCCAUGGCUCAACCGUGGAGGGUCAUUGGAAACUGGGGGACUUGAGUACAGAAGAGAAGAGUGGAAUUCCACGUGUAGCGGUGAAAUGCGUAGAGAUGUGGAGGAACACCAGUGGCGAAGGCGACUCUUUGGUCUGUAACUGACGCUGAGGCGCGAAAGCGUGGGGAGCAAACAGG